GCAGUCGAGCGGACAGAUGGGAGCUUGCUCCCUGAUGUUAGCGGCGGACGGGUGAGUAACACGUGGGUAACCUGCCUGUAAGACUGGGAUAACUCCGGGAAACCGGGGCUAAUACCGGAUGCUUGAUUGAACCGCAUGGUUCAAUUAUAAAAGGUGGCUUUUAGCUACCACUUACAGAUGGACCCGCGGCGCAUUAGCUAGUUGGUGAGGUAACGGCUCACCAAGGCGACGAUGCGUAGCCGACCUGAGAGGGUGAUCGGCCACACUGGGACUGAGACACGGCCCAGACUCCUACGGGAGGCAGCAGUAGGGAAUCUUCCGCAAUGGACGAAAGUCUGACGGAGCAACGCCGCGUGAGUGAUGAAGGUUUUCGGAUCGUAAAACUCUGUUGUUAGGGAAGAACAAGUACCGUUCGAAUAGGGCGGUACCUUGACGGUACCUAACCAGAAAGCCACGGCUAACUACGUGCCAGCAGCCGCGGUAAUACGUAGGUGGCAGCGUUGUCCGGAAUUAUUGGGCGUAAAGCGCGCGCAGGCGGUUUCUUAAGUCUGAUGUGAAAGCCCCCGGCUCAACCGGGGAGGGUCAUUGGAAACUGGGGAACUUGAGUGCAGAAGAGGAGAGUGGAAUUCCACGUGUAGCGGUGAAAUGCGUAGAGAUGUGGAGGAACACCAGUGGCGAAGGCGACUCUCUGGUCUGUAACUGACGCUGAGGCGCGAAAGCGUGGGGAGCGAACAGGAUUAGAUACCCUGGUAGUCCACGCCGUAAACGAUGAGUGCUAAGUGUUAGAGGGUUUCCGCCCUUUAGUGCUGCAGCAAACGCAUUAAGCACUCCGCCUGGGGAGUACGGUCGCAAGACUGAAACUCAAAGGAAUUGACGGGGGCCCGCACAAGCGGUGGAGCAUGUGGUUUAAUUCGAAGCAACGCGAAGAACCUUACCAGGUCUUGACAUCCUCUGACAACCCUAGAGAUAGGGCUUCCCCUUCGGGGGC
RNAcentral lists this ribosomal RNA (988 nucleotides) under Bacillus sp. (in: firmicutes). Its description in RNAcentral is "bacterial SSU rRNA". It matches the Rfam family "Bacterial small subunit ribosomal RNA", at positions 57 to 1027 of the family's 1533-position model. The record is from RNAcentral. Lineage: Bacteria; Bacillati; Bacillota; Bacilli; Caryophanales; Bacillaceae.